GCAAGAGUGGCCUAGUGGAUAAGGUGAUUGACUGGAGAUCAAAAGGUUGCAGGUUUGAACCACUGGGAGAUGAA
This is a non-coding RNA of Danionella cerebrum, 74 nucleotides long. The record is from the annotation of a GenBank genome assembly. Lineage: Eukaryota; Metazoa; Chordata; Actinopteri; Cypriniformes; Danionidae.